RNAcentral lists this ribosomal RNA (277 nucleotides) under uncultured eukaryote. RNAcentral's name for it is "partial 18S ribosomal RNA". It matches the Rfam family "Eukaryotic small subunit ribosomal RNA", at positions 21 to 305 of the family's 1831-position model. The record is from RNAcentral.
UAGUCAUAUGCUUGUCUCAAAGAUUAAGCCAUGCAUGUCUAAGUACAAACCCCAGUACGGUGAAACCGCGAAUGGCUCAUUAAAUCAGUUACGGUUCAUUGGAUGUUGAAAAGCUACAUGGAUAACUGUGGUAAUUCUAGAGCUAAUACAUGCGAAAAGCCGCUUCGGCGGCGCAUUUAUUAGACCAAGACCAGCGGAGCGCAAGCUCUACCGGUGGUGACUCUGAAUAACUUUCGCCGAUCGCAUGGCCUCGCGCCGGCGAUGUAUCCUUCGAGUG